RNAcentral lists this ribosomal RNA (463 nucleotides) under uncultured bacterium. RNAcentral's name for it is "bacterial SSU rRNA". It matches the Rfam family "Bacterial small subunit ribosomal RNA", at positions 1036 to 1498 of the family's 1533-position model. The record is from RNAcentral.
AGGUGCUGCACGGCUGUCGUCAGCUCGUGUCGUGAGAUGUUGGGUUAAGUCCCGCAACGAGCGCAACCCUCGUCCUUAGUUGCCAGCAGGUUAAGCUGGGCACUUUAAGGAGACUGCCUUCGUAAGGAGGAGGAAGGUGAGGACGACGUCAAGUCAUCAUGGCCCUUAUGGCUAGGGCUACACACGUGCUACAAUGGGGCGUACAGAGAGUUGCGAUACCGCGAGGUGGAGCCAAUCUCAUAAAGCGUCUCUCAGUUCGGAUUGAAGUCUGCAACUCGACUUCAUGAAGCUGGAAUCACUAGUAAUCGUAGAUCAGCAACGCUACGGUGAAUACGUUCCCGGGUCUUGUACUCACCGCCCGUCACACCAUGGGAGUUGAUUUCACCCGAAAUUGGGAAGCUAACCUUCGGGAGGCUACCACUUACGGUGGAAUUAGCGACUGGGGUGAAGUCGUAACAAGGUA